This is a long non-coding RNA of Maniola jurtina (meadow brown), 201 nucleotides long. RefSeq lists it as uncharacterized. Lineage: Eukaryota; Metazoa; Arthropoda; Insecta; Lepidoptera; Nymphalidae. The record is from RefSeq and is a predicted model, not a curated record. The transcript is spliced from 3 exons.
GGAAGUAAAAAUCCAGUGUAUACUAAUAUCAUAAAAGAGUAAUGUUUGUAAGUGUGGUUGUAGGAGGUAAUCUCUGGAAUUACUGAACCGAUUUUGUAAAUUAUUUCACCAGUAGAAAGCUACAUUAUUUCUAAGUGACAUAGGCUAUAUUGUAUUAAAAAAAAAUUAGAAAUCCUUACAAAAAUUGUAAUAAGCUAUCCG